GUUUGACCUCAAAUCAGGUAGGAAU
This 25-nucleotide ribosomal RNA is filed under the name Keqinozyma temnochilae. RNAcentral describes it as "[Candida] temnochilae partial 26S ribosomal RNA". Lineage: Eukaryota; Fungi; Ascomycota; Pichiomycetes; Serinales; Debaryomycetaceae. The record is from RNAcentral.